GAUGAACGCUGGCGGCGUGCUUAACACAUGCAAGUCGAACGGAAAGGCUCCUGCUUGCAGGGGUACUCGAGUGGCGAACGGGUGAGUAACACGUGGGUGAUCUGCCCUGCACUUCGGGAUAAGCCUGGGAAACUGGGUCUAAUACCGGAUAGGACGAUGGUUUGGAUGCCAUUGUGGAAAGUUUUUUCGGUGUGGGAUGAGCUCGCGGCCUAUCAGCUUGUUGGUGGGGUAAUGGCCUACCAAGGCGUCGACGGGUAGCCGGCCUGAGAGGGUGUACGGCCACAUUGGGACUGAGAUACGGCCCAGACUCCUACGGGAGGCAGCAGUGGGGAAUAUUGCACAAUGGGCGCAAGCCUGAUGCAGCGACGCCGCGUGGGGGAUGACGGCCUUCGGGUUGCAAACUCCUUUCGCUAGGGACGAAGCGCAAGUGACGGUACCUGGAGAAGAAGCACCGGCUAACUACGUG
Molecule: ribosomal RNA, 466 nt
Filed under: uncultured bacterium
Lineage: Bacteria
Description: partial 16S ribosomal RNA
Rfam family: Bacterial small subunit ribosomal RNA
Source: RNAcentral